RNAcentral lists this non-coding RNA (216 nucleotides) under Sporobacter termitidis. RNAcentral also lists the same sequence under 1 other name. Lineage: Bacteria; Bacillati; Bacillota; Clostridia; Eubacteriales; Oscillospiraceae. The record is from RNAcentral.
ACUGAAUAAUUCAUUUUGAGUGUCCCCCUUGGCGCAAUAGCCUUUGGGGAAGGAUAGGGAAUCGGGUGAAAAUCCCGGCGGUACCGCCGCUGUAAGCGCCGAGGCCGCGUUCGUCGACGAAAGUCGGUCACUGGGAAACUGGGAAGGCAGAACGCAGCCGCAGGAGAAACCUCCGUAAGCGUAAGCCAGAAGACCUGCUUGGAAUUGCUCUGGCCG